GUUCAAGCCGCCGCGGUAAUACAGAGGGGGCAAGCGUUGUUCGGAAUUACUGGGCGUAAAGGGCGCGUAGGCGGCCUGUUAAGUCGAACGUGAAAUCCCCGGGCUCAACCCGGGAACUGCGUCCGAAACUGGCAGGCUCGAAUUCGGGAGAGGGAUGCGGAAUUCCAGGUGUAGCGGUGAAAUGCGUAGAUAUCUGGAGGAACAUCGGUGGCGAAGGCGGCAUCCUGGACCGAUAUUGACGCUGAGGCGCGAAAGCCAGGGGAGCAAACGGGAUUAGAUACCCCCGUAGUCC
RNAcentral lists this ribosomal RNA (292 nucleotides) under uncultured bacterium. RNAcentral describes it as "partial 16S ribosomal RNA". It matches the Rfam family "Bacterial small subunit ribosomal RNA", at positions 505 to 796 of the family's 1533-position model. The record is from RNAcentral.